CCAAUAGCGUAUAUUAAAGUUGUUGCAGUUAAAAAGCUCGUAGUUGAAUUUCGGGAUCAAUCUAUCGGUCGUGCAAUAGUACGUACUGAUUUUAUUGAUUCCUCCCUUCUGAUGAACUAUGAUGUCAUUAAUUUGGUGUUAUAGGGAAUCAGGACUGUUACUUUGAAAAAAUUAGAGUGUUUAAAGCAGGCUCACGCUUGAAUACAUUAGCAUGGAAUAACGGAAUAGGACGUUUGAUUCUAUUUUGUUGGUUUCUAGGAUCGACGUAAUGAUUAAUAGGGAUAGUUGGGGGCAUUAGUAUUCAAUUGUCAGAGGUGAAAUUCUUGGAUUUAUUGAAGACUAACUACUGCGAAAGCAUUUGCCAAGGAUGUUUUCAUUAAUCAAGAACGAAAGUUAGGGGAUCGAAGACGAUCAGAUACCGUCGUAGUCUUAACCAUAAACUAUGCCGACUAGGGAUCGGAUGAUGUUAAUUUUUUAAUGACUCAUUCGGCGCCUUACG
RNAcentral lists this ribosomal RNA (499 nucleotides) under uncultured Glomeromycotina. Its description in RNAcentral is "partial small subunit ribosomal RNA". It matches the Rfam family "Eukaryotic small subunit ribosomal RNA", at positions 591 to 1092 of the family's 1831-position model. The record is from RNAcentral. Lineage: Eukaryota; Fungi; Glomeromycota.